ACCAGGUGUGGUGGCACACACCUGUAAUCCCAGUGGCUUGGGAGGCUGAGACAGGAGGAUUGUGAGCCAGCCUCGGCAAAAGCAAGGCUCUAAGCAAUUCAGGAAGACCCUGUCUCUA
Molecule: small RNA, 118 nt
Filed under: Marmota monax (woodchuck)
Lineage: Eukaryota; Metazoa; Chordata; Mammalia; Rodentia; Sciuridae
Source: RNAcentral